AUACGUAGGUGGCGAGCGUUGUCCGGAUUUACUGGGCGUAAAGAGUGCGUAGGCGGAUGUUUAAGUGAGAUGUGAAAUACCCGAGCUCAACUUGGGUGCUGCAUUUCAAACUGGGCAUCUAGAGUGCAGGAGAGGAAAGCGGAAUUCCUAGUGUAGCGGUGAAAUGCGUAGAGAUUAGGAAGAACACCAGUGGCGAAGGCGGCUUUCGGGACUGUAACUGACGCUGAGGCACGAAAGCGUGGGGAGCAAACAGGAUUAGAUACCCUGGUAGUCCACGCCGUAAACGAUGGGUACUAGGUGUCGGGGGUCCAACCUCGGUGCCGCAGUAAACACAUUAAGUACCCCGCCUGGGGAGUACGGUCGCAAGAUUAAAACUCAAAUGAAUUGACGGGG
RNAcentral lists this ribosomal RNA (393 nucleotides) under uncultured bacterium. Its description in RNAcentral is "partial 16S ribosomal RNA". It matches the Rfam family "Bacterial small subunit ribosomal RNA", at positions 523 to 918 of the family's 1533-position model. The record is from RNAcentral.